RNAcentral lists this transfer RNA (72 nucleotides) under Camelus bactrianus (Bactrian camel). It matches the Rfam family "tRNA". From Rfam's summary of the family: Transfer RNA (tRNA) molecules are approximately 80 nucleotides in length. Their secondary structure includes four short double-helical elements and three loops (D, anti-codon, and T loops). Further hydrogen bonds mediate the characteristic L-shaped molecular structure. tRNAs have two regions of fundamental functional importance: the anti-codon, which is responsible for specific mRNA codon recognition, and the 3' end, to which the tRNAs corresponding amino acid is attached (by aminoacyl-tRNA synthetases). tRNAs cope with the degeneracy of the genetic code in two manners: having more than one tRNA (with a specific anti-codon) for a particular amino acid; and 'wobble' base-pairing, i.e. permitting non-standard base-pairing at the 3rd anti-codon position. RNAcentral also lists the same sequence under 2 other names. The record is from Rfam by way of RNAcentral. Lineage: Eukaryota; Metazoa; Chordata; Mammalia; Artiodactyla; Camelidae.
GAGGGUACAGCUCAGUGGAAGAGUACAUGCCUAGCAUGCAUGAGGUCCUGGGUUCAGUCCCUGGUGCCUCCA